CUACGGGUGGCACCAGUGGGGAAUAUUGGACAAUGGGGGAAACCCUGAUCCAGCAAUGCCGCGUGUGUGAAGAAGGCCUGCGGGUUGUAAAGCACUUUCGGUUGGGAGGACUGCUUCUAGCACUAAUAUUGUUGGAAGUUGACGUUACCUUCAGAAGAAGCACCGGCUAACUCCGUGCCAGCAGCCGCGGUAAUAGCGGAGGGUGCAAGCGUUAAUCGGAAUUACUGGGCGUAAAGCGCGCGUAGGCGGCUAGAUCAGUCGGGUGUGAAAGCCCCGGGCUUAACCUGGGAACUGCAUCCGAUACUGUCUAGCUUGAGUACAGGAGAGGAGAGUGGAAUUCCACAUGUAGCGGUGAAAUGCGUAGAUAUGUGGAGGAACACCAAUGGCGAAGGCAGCUCUCUGGCCUGAUACUGACGCUGAGGUGCGAAAGCGUGGGGAGCAAACAGGAUUAGAUACCCGGGUAGUC
RNAcentral lists this ribosomal RNA (466 nucleotides) under uncultured bacterium. Its description in RNAcentral is "partial 16S ribosomal RNA". It matches the Rfam family "Bacterial small subunit ribosomal RNA", at positions 339 to 795 of the family's 1533-position model. The record is from RNAcentral.